Molecule: long non-coding RNA, 660 nt
Organism: Callithrix jacchus (white-tufted-ear marmoset)
Lineage: Eukaryota; Metazoa; Chordata; Mammalia; Primates; Cebidae
Source: RefSeq, a predicted model, not a curated record
UAUACUUAAAAGGGAAAUUCCGAUUCCCUUGGUCGGGCGUGGAGUCUGAGAUUCUGCAUUUCUAACAAGCUCCCAGGUUACAGCUGCCGCUGGUCCAAGGACCAACCUUUGAGGGCUAAGGGGUUUGUUGAAUGGGGUGAAGAAAUUUAGGGCUAGAGAGGAAAGGUGCUUUCUGAAGAAAACGAUAAGCUGGGGGUACCAGUGGCCUCAGAAGGGGCAGCAACAGAAGCCAACUGGAUGAGCAGGAAUCGUGUUAGAAACUGGCCAGAGGAAGGACUGCGGUCUCCACGGUCACUUUAUUCGGAGCAAAGUCUUAGGAAAAGAGAGGAGGGAGGCGCUCGCACUCUGGCUUUGGAAGAAAACGUUGCACGGGACGGGCUGGAGAUUCUUUGGAAAGGGCAGCAGACGCGCACCUGGUUAAGAAGUGCCUUUUACCUCCCACCACGAUUCUGAGGCCUCUUCAGCCAUGUGGAACUCUAAGUCCAGUUAAACCUCCUCUUCUUCAUAGUAUCAGGUUUUGGGGCACAUGUGAAGAACAUGCAGGAUUGUUGCAUAGAUUGUUCAUUAUUGGCAUAUGGAAAUGCUACUGAUAUAGCAAAGGACACAAUCAAUAAAGUGAAGAGAUGAUUGACAGAAUUGGAGAAAAUAUUUGACAAGGGA